UUCUCCGGCUACUUCUUCCCCAAGCUUUCCAGAAGUCGUUCCUUGGUGCUGAUUCACUCCGUAAGCAUCCCUGGAAUCCUGCUCCGUGUCCGGCCCCUGCCCCAGCGCUUGCACUGUGCUCUCUCACCAUCACAGCCUCCUUCUUGGCUGCUUUCACCUCCUUGGCCGUCUCUGCGGCUCCUGCAUCCAGCCCGGGGCGCAUCAGCAAGGAGCUGGACCGGAAGUGGACAUGGAACAGCAUUGCGAGUGGCAGCUCCACCGGCUGUGCUGCAACAGCCCCCCCACAAGGCUUUAAAACUUGUUGUACAGUAAGAAGAAUCGGAGUCGCCUGCGUCAAAGGCAGUGAGAAAGGAAAGCUUGGGUUGCUACGGCCCCAUUCCAGAUUCAGAGGUCCAGGGACCCACUGGCGGUGGCCCAGCCAGUUGUACUCCCAGAGGCCGGCGUGGGGGAGGAGGCUGCCUUGCCUGGGGUCUGGGAUCCCAGGUCCCUCCCCUGCAAGGGAAGAUCCACAGCAGACCAGACUGGUUUUCCUGCCUAGAAGAAGGAGCAUGGGUGGGGGACAUCACGCAACAUGAGGGGUCAAGCGCCAUGUGCACAAAGCCCCCACCCCCGCGUCCGGAGCCCAGAGGA
Molecule: long non-coding RNA, 630 nt
Organism: Lepus europaeus (European hare)
Lineage: Eukaryota; Metazoa; Chordata; Mammalia; Lagomorpha; Leporidae
Exons: 3
Source: RefSeq, a predicted model, not a curated record